GCAGUAGGUGUGAAUUACCCUCCCCCCUUUCACCUGUCAAGUUGUAUGCGGACGUUUUAUUUAUUUAUUUUUUAUUUGUGGGAAAUUUACACCAUUUACGUAAAUAACAAGUUACUAUUUUAAAUAAUGUGUUGUACUUAAUCUUAACUCUAAAACGUGGAGUUUAAAGCAGGUCUAAAAAGAAUGAAAGAAUUAUAUGUUUUGAUAUUUCCAAUCAAGCCUCCUCUCUUUACCAUGAAUGGAUUGGAGAUGAGUUGUUGGUAGAUGCAUUUGUUCUACCACACUUUUCAUAAACCUAUCUAGGGUGGCACACUUUCGUGGAAAAAUAGUAUAAAUAUUUAGUGAAUAAUGCGUUACUAUACCAUCGACCUCACAUGCGUUUUUAUAGAAAAAUUAAAUAUAUAGAAAAUUUGAUUUAUUUAAUAUCAGCCUCUUUUUCAGUUGUUCACUUUUUUUUAAUAGUUUGGUUCCACUCUUGUUAGAACAUAUGUUUGUGUGUCCUGUGUUUGAGUGUGAGUGUUUGGAGUUUACCAAUAUGUGGUCGUGUAAUUAAUUGAACAUGUCAAUGCAAUCUUUUUAUUUUUAUUUUUUUCAUUUCCUUUAUUAAGGUGCUAAUUGAAUUGUCAACACUAUAUAGGUUCUAUAAAACAGUUUGUUAUUAAACAAAUUGCCAAU
Molecule: non-coding RNA, 675 nt
Organism: Biomphalaria pfeifferi
Lineage: Eukaryota; Metazoa; Mollusca; Gastropoda; Planorbidae
Source: the annotation of a GenBank genome assembly